Molecule: ribosomal RNA, 927 nt
Filed under: Circinaria calcarea
Lineage: Eukaryota; Fungi; Ascomycota; Lecanoromycetes; Pertusariales; Megasporaceae
Description: partial small subunit ribosomal RNA
Rfam family: Bacterial small subunit ribosomal RNA
Source: RNAcentral
AGCAGUGAGGAAUAUUGGUCAAUAGCCUAACGGCUGAACCAGCAACUUGGAGGAAUGUAUAGCGAAAGCUAGUUGCAUUAAAUUCGAUUAAUUCGAAGUUAAUGCAUCAUCGACUAUGUCGAAUAAAGUUCUAGGUAGAGUUAUGAUAAUGACAUUAUCUAUCUAUGUGUCUUGACCAAGUCACGUGCCAGCAGUCGCGGUAAUACGUGGAAGACUAGUGUUAUUCAUCUUUAAUAGGUUUAAAGGGUACUUAGACGGUAAAUUUAGCCCAGAUAAAAACAAAGGGUACUAAUUAUACUAGAGUUUUAUAUGAGGAGGGUGUGUACUAGUGGUGUAGAGAUGAAAUUCUGUCAUACCAUUAUGACAGGCGACGGCGAAAGCAACCUUUAGAUAAAAACUGACGUUCAAGGASGAAGGCUUUGUGUCACCAACAGGAUUAGAUACCCAAGCAGUCUUAGCAGACAAUUAUGAAUGCCAUAGAUAAGAAAUCCUUAGAUAAAAAAGAGAACAUUUAUUUUUCUUUUUUGGAAUCUAACCUCCAAAAAUGAAAGAGGAUGGACUUAUCUAUUUUUUUUUAAAAAAAAAAUGDAAAACAAAAAAAAAAAAGGAUGUAUUUUUUGUCUAUAAAUGAAAGUGUAAGCAUUUCACCUCAAGAGUAAUGUGGCAACGCAGAAACUGAAAUCAUUAGACCGUUUCUGAAACCAGUAGUGAAGUAUGUUGUUUAAUUAGAUGGUCCGCAAAAAACCUUACCACAAUUUGUAUAUUAUUAGCUUAAUACAGGAGUUGCACGGCUGUCUUCAGUUAAUGUCGUGAGAUUUUGGUUAGUUCCAUUAAAUUAACGUAAACCCUUACUUUAUUUUAUAUAAAGUAGUUCCCCGCUAUAUUGGAUAUGAUAACCAGGGACUAAGACAAGUCAUCAUGGCCUGC